AUUAUACAGCGAAACUGCGAAUGGCUCAUUAAAUCAGUUAUCGUUUAUUUGAUAGUACCUUACUACUUGGAUAACCGUGGUAAUUCUAGAGCUAAUACAUGCUGAAAACCCCGACUCACGGGAAGGGGUGUAUUUAUUAAAUUAAAAACCAAUGCCCUUCGGGGCUCUCUGGUGAUUCAUAAUAACUUCUCGAAUCGCAUGGCCUUGCGCCGGCGAUGGUUCAUUCAAAUUUCUGCCCUAUCAACUUUCGAUGGCAGGGUCUUGGCCUGCCAUGGUUACAACGGGUAACGGAGGGUUAGGGCUCGACCCCGGAGAAGGAGCCUGAGAAACGGCUACUACAUCCAAGGAAGGCAGCAGGCGCGCAAAUUACCCAAUCCCGAUACGGGGAGGUAGUGACAAUAAAUACUGAUACAGGGCUCUUUUGGGUCUUGUAAUUGGAAUGAGUACAAUCUAAAUCCCUUAACGAGGAACAAUUGGAGGGCAAGUCUGGUAGGCCAGCAGCCGGCGGUAAUACGCCGCUCCAAUAGCGUAUAUUAAAGUGAAGCGGUUAAAAAGCUCGGAGUUGCCCCCCGGAAAUAGCCGACCCGCAGCCAACUCCGCGUGCACUGGUUCGGCCGGGCCUUUGACUAGCGGAGCCGCGUGCAAGCGAGUGGGUGUGCCGGGGAACCAGUGUUUAGACUUUUAAUUUGAAAAAAUUAGAGUGUGAAAGCAGGGCUAUACACCAAUACAUUAGCUAUGGAAUAAUGGAAUAGGACGUGGGGUUCUAUUUUGUUGGUUUCUAGGACCGCCGUAAUGAUUAAUAGGGACAGUCGGGGGCAUCAGUAUUCAUUAGAAUUGUCAGAGGUGAAAUUCUCGUACUUAUUGAAGUCUAACUACUGCGAAAGCAUUUGCCAAGGAUGUUUUCAUUAAUCCGGAACGAAAGUUAUGGGGAGUCGCAGACGAUCAGAUACCGUCGGGGUCUUGGAACCUUUACCUAUGCCGACUAGGGAUCGGACGAUGUUAUUAUUUGACUCGUUCGGCACCUUACGAGAAGUCAAAGUCUUUGGG
This 1047-nucleotide ribosomal RNA is filed under the name Oxydothis sp. IFO 32218. Its description in RNAcentral is "bacterial SSU rRNA". It matches the Rfam family "Eukaryotic small subunit ribosomal RNA", at positions 73 to 1111 of the family's 1831-position model. The record is from RNAcentral. Lineage: Eukaryota; Fungi; Ascomycota; Sordariomycetes; Amphisphaeriales; Oxydothidaceae.